This is a long non-coding RNA of Limulus polyphemus (Atlantic horseshoe crab), 1006 nucleotides long. RefSeq lists it as uncharacterized. NCBI's taxonomy places the organism in Eukaryota, Metazoa, Arthropoda, Merostomata, Xiphosura, Limulidae. The transcript is spliced from 4 exons. The record is from RefSeq and is a predicted model, not a curated record.
CUACAGCAGGAAACUAAUCAAUCUGAAGAGUGAAAAACACAAACAACUUGUCCUAGUAUCUGUACUUAACUGUAGGGGGAUUCAUAAUGUCAGUAUAACGAUGGCUUUAAAAGUAAGGAUAUGAAAAUUGGGAAUUUAUAAGCAGUGAUUUAAUAUUAUCACAUUCUUUGUCUAAAGCGGAAGGAGUGUGAGAUAGCAUAUUCUUUUGUUAUGGAUUUCUUUACCGUUCGUUUAUUCAUUCUGUCGUUUAGUUAAGCUCUGGAUUUUUAUUUGCACUUCAACGCUAACUCACCUUCUAGCUAAUCGCACCAAUUUUUAAUUUAUGAAUUAUGAGACUGACAUCAGUUUCCCCUAUCGGUGACGUACAGAUAUUAAUAUUGGUAAAUACAACUUUGCUGGUCUUUGGACUUAACUUCCCGUAACCUGAAUCGGAGCAGAAGGUAAAGAAGCUGAAGAUCUGAGAACGCUACGUUUUUUCUUUGUAAGUGGAAAGUUCUGGCCACUGGCUCAUUCAUACGCUGUAUGCAGGCUAUUUGAUAGUUUACAAGGAGUCAAAGAAGGACUUUUUGGAAACAAAAAAACCCAACAUUACCUGGAACCGUAGAUGAACGAACAGAUCUACCUAGAAGUGUCAUACAGAAGCCAAUAUCCAACGUUGAAAAACAUCUGAAGAUACAGCGAGAAGCUUAAACCCCUUAGUCUCUUUCGGACAAAAUUAAAAAGAAAAUGGUCAUCGUCCUAUGCCGUUGCAGAAAAUUUCAAUGGCGCAAGAAGGCUUUCAGAUUGCGCCCUCCUCUCCAUCAAAAUAAAGGACUUACUCUGGUGUGUCCACAUCUCAUCCUUCGACGUAACGUACUGAUGAGUCAUUUAUGUUCUCUGCUUAACGUAAGUGGUCUUUGAACUCGAACACUUCCUGUAAAGUGAAUUAGAACAGGAAAGUAGAGAAGAUGAAGAUUCAUGAACAUGAAUUAUUUCUUCUUGUAAGGUAUCUGUACUGAAACUGUAA